AACGAACGCUGGCGGCAUGCCUAACACAUGCAAGUCGAACGAGACCUUCGGGUCUAGUGGCGCACGGGUGCGUAACGCGUGGGAACCUGCCCUUAGGUUCGGAAUAACUCCCCGAAAGGGGUGCUAAUACCGGAUAAUGUCUUCGGACCAAAGAUUUAUGGCCUUUGGAUGGGCCCGCGUUGGAUUAGCCAGUUGGUAGGGUAAAAGCCUACCAAGGCGACGAUCCAUAGCUGGUCUGAGAGGAUGAUCAGCCACACUGGGACUGAGACACGGCCCAGACUCCUACGGGAGGCAGCAGUGGGGAAUAUUGGACAAUGGGCGAAAGCCUGAUCCAGCAAUGCCGCGUGAGUGAUGAAGGCCUUAGGGUUGUAAAGCUCUUUUACCCGGGAUGAUAAUGACAGUACCGGGAGAAUAAGCUCCGGCUAACUCCGUG
Molecule: ribosomal RNA, 433 nt
Filed under: uncultured bacterium
Lineage: Bacteria
Description: partial 16S ribosomal RNA
Rfam family: Bacterial small subunit ribosomal RNA
Source: RNAcentral